GACGUACGCUGGCGGCGUGCCUAACACAUGCAAGUCGGACGGGGCUCUUUGGAUCGAGACUUCGGUCAGGUGAAUCUGAGCUUAGUGGCGGACGGGUGAGUAACGCGUGAGCAACCUGCCUUUCAGAGGGGGACAACAGUUGGAAACGACUGCUAAUACCGCAUAAUGUGUUUUGGGGGCAUCCCCGAAAUACCAAAGAUUUUAUCGCUGAAAGAUGGACUCGCGUUGGAUUAGAUAGUUGGUGAGGUAACGGCUCACCAAGUCGACGAUCCAUAGCCGGACUGAGAGGUUGAACGGCCACAUUGGGACUGAGACACGGCCCAG
This 324-nucleotide ribosomal RNA is filed under the name uncultured bacterium. RNAcentral describes it as "bacterial SSU rRNA". It matches the Rfam family "Bacterial small subunit ribosomal RNA", at positions 28 to 334 of the family's 1533-position model. The record is from RNAcentral.